RNAcentral lists this ribosomal RNA (500 nucleotides) under uncultured bacterium. Its description in RNAcentral is "bacterial SSU rRNA". It matches the Rfam family "Bacterial small subunit ribosomal RNA", at positions 122 to 638 of the family's 1533-position model. The record is from RNAcentral.
CAACCUGCCUCAUAGAGGGGAAUAGCCUCCCGAAAGGGAGAUUAAUACCGCAUAAGAUUGUAGCUUCGCAUGAAGUAGCAAUUAAAGGAGCAAUCCGCUAUGAGAUGGGCCCGCGGCGCAUUAGCUAGUUGGUGAGGUAACGGCUCACCAAGGCGACGAUGCGUAGCCGACCUGAGAGGGUGAUCGGCCACAUUGGGACUGAGACACGGCCCAGACUCCUACGGGAGGCAGCAGUGGGGAAUAUUGCACAAUGGGGGAAACCCUGAUGCAGCAAUGCCGCGUGAGUGAUGACGGCCUUCGGGUUGUAAAGCUCUGUCUUCAGGGACGAUAAUGACGGUACCUGAGGAGGAAGCCACGGCUAACUACGUGCCAGCAGCCGCGGUAAUACGUAGGUGGCAAGCGUUGUCCGGAUUUACUGGGCGUAAAGGGAGCGUAGGCGGAUUUUUAAGUGAGAUGUGAAAUACCCGGGCUUAACUUGGGUGCUGCAUUUCAAACUGGAA